UGGGGAAUUUUGGACAAUGGGGGCAACCCUGAUCCAGCCAUGCCGCGUGAGUGAAGAAGGCCUUCGGGUUGUAAAGCUCUUUCGGCCGGGAAGAAAUCGCACGGGCUAAUACCCUGUGUGGAUGACGGUACCGUAAGAAUAAGCACCGGCUAACUACGUGCCAGCAGCCGCGGUAAUACGUAGGGUGCGAGCGUUAAUCGGAAUUACUGGGCGUAAAGCGUGCGCAGGCGGUUAUAUAAGACAGAUGUGAAAUCCCCGGGCUUAACCUGGGAACUGCGAUUGUGACUGCAAGGCUAGAGUGUGUCAGAGGGGGGUGGAAUUCCACGUGUAGCAGUGAAAUGCGUAGAGAUGUGGAGGAACACCGAUGGCGAAGGCAGCCCCCUGGGAUAACACUGACGCUCAUGCACGAAAGCGUGGGGAGCAAACA
Molecule: ribosomal RNA, 427 nt
Filed under: uncultured bacterium
Lineage: Bacteria
Description: bacterial SSU rRNA
Rfam family: Bacterial small subunit ribosomal RNA
Source: RNAcentral